This 295-nucleotide long non-coding RNA is filed under the name Rhinopithecus bieti (black snub-nosed monkey). RNAcentral describes it as "ST7 overlapping transcript 4 conserved region 3 (ENSRBIG00000021522.1)". It matches the Rfam family "ST7 overlapping transcript 4 conserved region 3". The record is from RNAcentral. Lineage: Eukaryota; Metazoa; Chordata; Mammalia; Primates; Cercopithecidae.
UGCUUACUCUUCCGGUGAUGAAGGCAAGUGUGUUCCUGGAGAGGUUACUGAAUCCGGAGCUGCUUUUAGGGAGUUGCAGAUGGUGCAGGCCUCCCUCCCUCCUCAAGGAAGCGGAAGACACCAUCACAAUCAGGCAGCCAGGAGCCAGGGCUUCCAAAGGCCCAACUGUGCACUUGUAGGGGUAAGGAAUCUGGUAAAAGUAUUCUGGGGAGUCGUCCUUGGAUAUCUACUCAGUAUCUUCUCAGUAUCUUGACCAUCUAUGAUAAUUUUAAUCCUCAUUUGAUCAUAUUUUAUG